GUCGCGGCGGCUACGCCCACCUGGACCCAGUUUACCCUGUACUGUGCUGCAAAAUAUUACUUUCUCCCCAUCUGGAAUUCUUCCCUUCCUCCUUCCUGCCGCAGUGGUGUACUGAGCACUUUCACAAAGAACAAAAUUUUAAAUAAAUUAAAAACGACACCUGUAAUUUGAGAAGAUGCUUGAUAUCAGAAGAGGAGAAGAGUGGAGAGGGGUGGAGUGGCAAAGGAGAGCCUCCAAACCAAAAGCCUGCGGCAGAGGCCCUAGGAGGCAAGCACUUAACCAUGUUUCAGGACUAGAAACGAAACAUGUGACAAGACCUUUAAAAACAAAUAGAAUGGGAUGGAAUAAAGUUGGAUGAGUAAGCAGGCAUCAAAUCAUUCAGAAACUUGUUGUCCAAGUUGAAGAAUUUGUUUAGUAUUGUAUAAUAAAUGCAGAGGAAGCUAUAUACACUUAUAAUUUACAUUUUUUAAAGGCCACGUUGUAGCUCAAUCGGAUAGUUUGUCUUUUGAUGGGAUGUAGUAUACAGUAUCAUCAUGGUAUAUUCCAGGCAAAAAUAUUUAACUUGAAUCUGUCAAGCCUUUGCAUCUAACACAGUUUAUAAAAAAUACAACAGAUAGAUGAACAAACUAAAUGAUGCCAGAGGAAGUAACUAGACAGAUCCAGAAGGUGAAACAUUCUGCAGGAUAACUGGCCCAUCUCUUCAACAAUUUGUCAUGAUAAAAGCAACUGCUUUAUGAAAAGAAAUUUAAGGGACAUAACAGUUUGAAUUGGAUCCUGGUUUGAACAGACUGUCUAUAAAAUGCAUUUUCAGGACCAUUAAAGAAAUAUGAAUGUAGAUGGACUGAGUAUUGGAUAAAAUAGAACUGUAUUGCCAUGGAAAAGAUCAUUAACUGAAAAGAGCAAGUCACGAAAUAGUAUGUUACAGCAUCUCAUUUUGGUUUAAAAAUGCACAUAUAUGUAUUUAUGUACAACUAAAAAAAUAGUGGGCUUAUACCCUAAGGUGUUAGUAUUGGUAAUCUUUGGAAGUGGAAAUGUGUAUUUUUUUCUUUGUGUUUGCCUAUCUUUUUCAUUGUAACUUUUGCAGCACAUAGACUACUUUCAUUAUAGUAAAAGUUUAUUUUACCACAAUUUUUUUUUUUUUAGAAAGAGUCUCACUCUGUCACCCAGGCUGGAGUGCAGUGGCACAAUCUCAGCCCACUGCAACCUCCACCUCCCAGGUUCAAGCUAUUCUCCUGCCUCAGCCUUCUGAGUAGCUGGGACUACAGGUGCACACCACAUGCCUGGCUAAUUUUUGUAUUUUUAAUAGAGACUGGAUUUCGCGAUGUUGGCCCGGCUGGUCUCGAACUCCUGGCCUCAAGUGAUCCACCCGCUUUAGCCUCCCAAAGUGCUGGGAUUACAGGCGUGAGCCACUGCACCCGGCCUAUUUUACCACAAUUUAUAAAAAUUUUUGUUUAUUUUAAUUAAGCUAUUCUAUGUUAAAAUAAGUAGCCACCCUUGGCUGAUGCAUAAAGAAAAAAUUAGAGGAAGGAAAGAAUGGAGGCAAGGAGGCAAAUCAUGAGACCAUUUCAGAAAUCAAGACGAAAUCAGGAAAGCUAACAUUAGCAAGAGUGAACCAAACUGAUAAUAUCUUUGAGUUUAAAACUGAAGAAUUUACCAAUGAACUGCAUAGGAAAGUAAAGAAAAGAGAGUGGUCAAGAUAGGUCCUGGUUUUGGGGCCUGAACAUCUGAGUGGUUAGUAGAAUCAUUACCAGUUGAUAACCCAUGGAAGAGGGUGGGGGAUGGGUGGUGUCUUGUAGGUUGGUUGACAGGACUGACCCAUUGGGAAGAUAACGAAGAAGCAAAGUAUAUGAAAAGAGGAGAAAGGGUAACCAGAGGAGGGAGGAUACAAAGGGAGUGAUUAGCCAUCAGAAAGAUGAGGGACAUGACAUUUGUUGAGGCAGAUGGCGGAGAAAAGAAAGUUAACAUAGAUGUGGUUAGUUUUGUGGCAUUGACCAAAGGAAGAUUAAGGUGAUACUAUCUGAUGGCUUGGAAUGAAAACCAAACUCCCUGCCACAACAUGAUGAUCUUUCUCUGCAACUUCAUAUUUUGCCUCUUGUUCCUCAUUUGUUACCACUGAGUCACAAUGGUCUUUUUAGUUUCUCAAACACACCAAGAUCUUUCUUGCCUCAUGUGACCUAGAAUGUUUUCUCCCUUUCUUCAUAUCUCAGUUGAAAGGUCUCCUCUCCUCAUCAUCAUACUAUCUAAAGUAGAUUCCCUCCCUUGUUAACCUCUAGCGCAGCCAUUAGUUCCUUCAUAACACUUACCCUAACUUGCAAGUAUUUUGUUUGUUGAUAUAAUUUUUAUCUGACUUCCCCACUAAAAUGUAAGCUCCAUGAGGGCAAAAAUUGUGUGUUUUGUAUACUGAUGCAUCUCUAGCACUUGGUAUAGCAGGCAUUCAAUAAAUAUCAUUAAAUAAGUUUCACCCUUGUAAAAAAAAAAAAUAUAUAUAUAUAAAAUAUAUUCUCUACUUCCAAAAUAACACACUUUCACCAACAACAAGCACUCCAGCUAAUUAGGCAAUAGGCCAAUAAGCAAAGAAUUAUGGUAUAUUAGUCAAGAUUGGCUAGCUUAUGUUCUGACAAUAAACAAUUUCAAAAUCUCAGUUUCAAUUUUAAACUCAAAGAUACUAAUAAACAUUUGUUCUUUGCUCACACAAAGUCUAAUAUGGAACAGGCUUAGAGUUGUCCUCCAACCAGUGUCUGAGCAAUCCAGACCACUUUGAUCUUGUAACUCUGCCAUCCCAACAUGAGAUUCCACUUUCACUGCAGAAGAGGAAAUCUGUAGCAUCAUGCAGCAGCUUGUCACUACCUCAGCCCUCCUACUUCCACUUGCAUUUCACUAGCUAGAACCUUUCACAUGGCUCCACCAAACUGCAAUGGGACUGGGAAGGGAGAAUCAGAUAUUAGGGAGCAUUUAUAAUGCCUUCCAAGGGUGUGUUUCACUGCUUCCAAACUUGCUUAUGAUGAUGUUUUUCAUUUAUGUAAUGAAAUGCCAUAUGUUCUUAGUGUGUAUUCUCAGCAUAACGAGUACAUUUGGAGAAUAUUAAGUCAGUGGACUUUCCUUCUUGAAAAUUCCUGGUUCUGGGCCUAUCAUUAACCCCACUGAUUGAACCAGUGGAAAUAGUUGCCUCUUCGAAUGGAGAGAACCCUGCUGAAGGCAGCUUUGAGUUUCAAAAUAGUGUGUUUCAAGUCCACAUGGAGACGAUAGCCUGAAAGUAAGCACUUAUGAUUUUUGGAGGAGUCUUUGUUAUUAAGGAGAAAAGAGGCUUACAGAAGUCAGAUUCAGAAGACUGUAGUAUUUUUACAAUAAAUGAGAGUAAACAGUAUAAGGAUUUGAUGUAAGGGAAGUUCCUGCAGUGCAAGAAAGAAAGUCCUUUUGGUGCUGAGCGGAACAGUCUAAGAGAGAAAAGGUGAAGAACAAAAGGAAAAUGUAAAUGUGGUAUUCACACUUCCCUACUCCACACUCAGGAUAAACCUAGAGUAUGAGGUAGAGGCGGGAAUCUAGAGGGGAGGAAGCAUAGAAUAGGAACACCCAAAUAGACUUGAUGAAACAAAAAACAUCAAGGAUGGCUCCCGUGUCACCUGGGAAGACACACUUCAUGUAAGGAAUGGAAAAAAGGCAAUGGUAAGGGACAGGGGCCCUGGAUUUUUUACAACAUGCGAUAGAGAACUAUUUGUCUCCUUAAUUUAUUUAACUUUAAAAAAUAAUAAUGAAUGAAAGAAAAAUUACCCAUUUUUCAAAUAUGGGUGUGUAAGUUUUUUCCACUUUGUACAAAAAAUUUUAAAGAAACGAAAACUGCUGAACACCUUAUAUUCAGAAUUACUCCCUGUAUAAGCCCAUUCCAAUUCCAUAUACUGCUGAUUAAAUUUCCAUCAGUUGGCAGUUCUCUAAUAUCAGUUUCACUGCUAUUUAACUAACUACUGCCCUUUGCUACCAGUGUCUCUCUUGGAUGAGAGUCACUUUACUUGAAUAAGAUAACUUCUGAGAAUAAAUCUAUGCACUAUUUUGGAAGAAUUGCUCUAUAGAGUAAAAAAUAAUUCUGGAUAAUUGAAAGUUAUCUUGUGAGUAUCUGGACAUUAAGGAUACAUUUCAAGACUCCUGUUUUCACUAAAAUCCAAUAUUUGUUUAAGCACUUCAAGUUAAAGAGGAGCACCUUCCCCUUUCACCCUGACUAUCGUUGUUAAUUCGUUUUUGAAGCUAUAUAAGAACGUUUCUUUAAUCGGUUUUCCCUUAGGCAUACAUUAGCUCUCUGUUCAAGACUUAGUAGCAGAGAGUAGUAAGUAAAUGGUUAUUAGUGGUUCUUCAUAUAAAACACAUUUGAGUUUCUUAGAAGAAAACUAUGCAUAAAGAUUACUUUCAGAUAUCAUGUCUGUAGUUCGUUAAUAGAGAAGUUUCUCUGAACGUGUGGAACACUGUAAUAAGAUAAAUAAAUUUUUAAAAAGAAAAAGUAAGCAUAUAUACAAAA
Molecule: long non-coding RNA, 4504 nt
Filed under: Homo sapiens (human)
Lineage: Eukaryota; Metazoa; Chordata; Mammalia; Primates; Hominidae
Description: PDCD6IP divergent transcript, transcript variant 2 (PDCD6IP-DT)
Source: RNAcentral